UUUACUCGUGUAUGACUGGCAGAAACGCAUUGUGUAACCAGCAGUCUUUUUUCACUAUCUAUGUGAAGAAGCCAUCUCCUGAGAGAAAGGAUAGGCAGUGUGAUACAGAAACUGUACCACCUCAGGAGUCAGACAAACCUGACAGUUUGACUCUGGGUUAAGUUCUUCACUUGAGUCUUGGUGCCCUUACUUGCAAAAUAGAAUAAUACUGCCUAACUUAAUGUUAUUCUGAAUAUUUGAGAAGAUAAGUCAUUCGACAGAUAUUCACCAAGUGCUUUAUCCUGAGAGCAAUGGAGAAUCGCUCUAAGGUCUUAAACAGAAGAAGCAACAUAAUUAAAUGUGAACUUUGGAAACAGAACUCUGGCUGCAAUACGGGGAAUGAAAGAGGGAACAUGUUAGUGGAUAUCUUGGAUCUCUUGCUUGGAUAUCUGAGUGGAUGGAGGUGCCGCUAACUAGAAGAGAAAACACUGGAAAAGCAGCAGGUUGAGAGAAAAGUGACAAAUUCUGUUCUGGACAGAUCUCUUACAUGGUUGAGGAUAUUUUUGCUUUCCCCGCUGGCCUGGAAACAUCCACUGCUCAUGGACCAUGAGCUACUUAUUAUAAUGCAGCGUAUACACUGUACUUCAUAAUUGGGGAGGAACGUUCGAACCAGAGAAAACACGAGCAUCCCUAAGAGAGAAGACCAGUGUGCAUUCCCAGCCCAAGGUGGAGCCAUGGGGCACCAAGCGGACAGUGUAUGACCUGACACAGGAGAGGUAGGCAGGGGUAAGAACAUGCUGGGAACAUGCAAAGAUCCAGAGCUGAGAACGUCACUUGUUCAGAGAACUGAAAUUUCAGUAAUUCGGAGAAUAAAGAGGUGGAACUUCAGAAGUAUUUGCUAGAAGAGUCUCACAUCAGGAAGGGGCUCCAAAGCUA
Molecule: long non-coding RNA, 915 nt
Organism: Neofelis nebulosa (Clouded leopard)
Lineage: Eukaryota; Metazoa; Chordata; Mammalia; Carnivora; Felidae
Exons: 4
Source: RefSeq, a predicted model, not a curated record